This 204-nucleotide long non-coding RNA is filed under the name Marmota monax (woodchuck). The record is from RNAcentral. Lineage: Eukaryota; Metazoa; Chordata; Mammalia; Rodentia; Sciuridae.
UCCCAGCACCAUUUGUUGAAGAUGCUUUCCUUUCUCCAGUGUAUGCUUUUGGCAUCUUUGUUUAAUAUAAGGUAGUUGUAAUUUUGUGGGUUAGUCUCUGUGUCCUCUAUUCUCUACCUUUGGUCUGCCAGCCUGUUUUGCUGCCAGUACCAUGCUAUUGCUCUGUGGUAUAGAUUAAGGUCUGGUAUAGCAAUGCCAUCUGUU